RNAcentral lists this ribosomal RNA (225 nucleotides) under uncultured bacterium. RNAcentral describes it as "partial 16S ribosomal RNA". The record is from RNAcentral.
GACAGAGGGUGCCAAGCGUUAGGCGGAAUCACUGGGCUUAAAGCGCGUGUAGGUGGCGGCCUAAGUAUCCUUGUAGAACUCCGUGACGGCUCACGCAGAACUGCUUGGUAUAACUGGGUCGCGUUGGAGCCAAUCCGAGGGGCAACUGGGAACAAAGCGGUGGAGCGGUGAAAAUGGACGUCAGGAUAAGUCGCUUGGAAACCGCCGAAAGGUCGAAAACGAAGC